CAGUCGCCGCGGUAAUACAGAGGGUGCGAGCGUUAAUCGGAUUUACUGGGCGUAAAGCGUGCGUAGGCGGCUUCUUAAGUCGGAUGUGAAAUCCCUGAGCUUAACUUAGGAAUUGCAUUCGAUACUGGGAAGCUAGAGUAUGGGAGAGGAUGGUAGAAUUCCAGGUGUAGCGGUGAAAUGCGUAGAGAUCUGGAGUAAUACCGAUGGCGAAGGCAGCCAUCUGGCCUAAUACUGACGCUGAGGUACGAAAGCAUGGGGAGCAAACAGGAUUAGAUACCCCUGUAGUCCCUGUCUCUUAUAC
This 301-nucleotide ribosomal RNA is filed under the name uncultured bacterium. RNAcentral's name for it is "partial 16S ribosomal RNA". It matches the Rfam family "Bacterial small subunit ribosomal RNA", at positions 509 to 807 of the family's 1533-position model. The record is from RNAcentral.